GAAGAUACAGCUCAGUAGUAGAGUGCGUGCUUAGCAUGCACAAGGUCCAGGGUUCAAUCCCCAGUACCUUUG
Molecule: transfer RNA, 72 nt
Filed under: Camelus bactrianus (Bactrian camel)
Lineage: Eukaryota; Metazoa; Chordata; Mammalia; Artiodactyla; Camelidae
Also listed under: 2 other names
Rfam family: tRNA
About the family: Transfer RNA (tRNA) molecules are approximately 80 nucleotides in length. Their secondary structure includes four short double-helical elements and three loops (D, anti-codon, and T loops).
Source: Rfam by way of RNAcentral